RNAcentral lists this transfer RNA (73 nucleotides) under Stegodyphus mimosarum. It matches the Rfam family "tRNA". From Rfam's summary of the family: Transfer RNA (tRNA) molecules are approximately 80 nucleotides in length. Lineage: Eukaryota; Metazoa; Arthropoda; Arachnida; Araneae; Eresidae. The record is from Rfam by way of RNAcentral.
GCCUCUGUGGUAUAGUGGUCAGUACGAUCGGCGCGUAUUCGAGAGGUCUUUGGUUCGAGUCCCGACAAGGGCA